This 1588-nucleotide long non-coding RNA is filed under the name Xyrichtys novacula (pearly razorfish). Lineage: Eukaryota; Metazoa; Chordata; Actinopteri; Labriformes; Labridae. The record is from RNAcentral.
CGAUUAAUAAAAUUCCUCGAGGCAAAUUAUAUGCCUCGAGGAAUCGUUUAAAUCCGGAACCAUGUGCAGCGCACGGUGUUUGCGCUCCUUCCGCUGCCGCGCGUUUGGUUCAAUCAUGGAGGAAAACGAGGACAGACAGAGAGAGGAAGAAAGAGAUGACACGCAGAGGAAACGGCAGAAAGUGUCUUAAGUGUGGGACCAUUACACACUGAAAAGGAAAGAAAACGCCGUGCAGUGCGUUCACUGUAAGGCGGAGUUGGCGUUUCACAACAGCACGUCUUCAAUGCUGCAGCACCUUAAAAGAAAACACCCGGUCCAUGCAUUAAGUCCGCAGAGCGGACUGGCCACAACAAGGUAAUGUUCACGAUACUAAGCAGUUGCAGUUAAAACAAAUCAAUGUGAUCAAUAAUCAAGAAUAAGUCCAGUACAUAAUGUAAUUUAAUUUAUGGCGCUGUCUAAAGGCUGCUUCACAGUGUAAAUAAAAAUGUAACACUUUUAUAUAUUGAAUAAAUAUACAUUUGCUUGUCAAAUUAUGUUAGUAUCCAAGAAUUAUAUUAUUUCAGCCUAUUAAUUAAACAAGUAAAAUUAGAUCCAAAGCCUGGAAAUAAACAUUAUGACAGCAGUAAAGGCAUAAAUACAGUAAAGAGAGAUAACUAUGAAUACAAAUACUACUACUUCUACUACUACUAUUAAUAAUAAUAAUAAUAAUAAUAUAAAAAUAACCAAAACUAAAGGCUUGCUAAAAAAAAAACUAGAUAUGACUCUGAUAAAAAGAGAACUGCAAGAACAAUAUAAACAGAACUAACUAAAAGUUAAAAAAAUAUUUCCACCAUCAAAUAAAUGUGCAUGGGCUAGUUGAAUUAUCUUAGUAUAUAAGUGUAUAUAUAUUUUUUAGAAAUUAAACAAGAUGAAUUAGAUCUGCAGUAUGGAAAUUAGCGUUUUCUUAGCAGCAAAGGCUGUGAAUAGACAUAAGAAUGAACUCAAUUAAUAUGAAUACAAUUAAUACAAAAAUAACCAAACUAAAAAAAACUUACUAAAAAGCAAGAUAUGGCCCAGAGAAAACAAAGAGAACUUAAGAAACAAUAUAAAUAGAACAAACUUAUAAAAAACUAUUUACACUAUUGGAUUAAUGUGCAUUAACUAGCUGACUUAUUGUAGUAUCUGAGUAUGAUAUUAUUUUUUUUAGUAAUUUCGCAAGAUAAGUAAAAGCCAAAUAAAAUAACCAAACUCAAAACUUUACUAAAAAAACAAGAUAAUGAUCCAGAGAAAAAUAGAACUUCAUAAACAAUAUAAACAGAACAAACUAAAAAAAAGUUAUAAAAUGUUUACACCAUUAGACAUAUGUUAAUAUCAAUAUCAAUUGGACUCUUUUUCAGUUCUUCAAAGAACCAAACUCUGGACAGCUUUGUGCGGCGACUUCCACCGUGUUCAACCGAGCAAGCAGCUGAGUUCACCGACAGUAUUCUAAACAUGAUUGUCUCAGACAUGCGCCCGCUUUCCAUGGUGGAGGAUGAGGGAUUUCAGAAGAUGAUUUGUUGUCAAUGGUUUAGUGAAAACUGCAAAGAUCAUUACCAUAGCAAUUAAAAGA